Molecule: transfer RNA, 71 nt
Filed under: Myotis davidii
Lineage: Eukaryota; Metazoa; Chordata; Mammalia; Chiroptera; Vespertilionidae
Rfam family: tRNA
About the family: Transfer RNA (tRNA) molecules are approximately 80 nucleotides in length. Their secondary structure includes four short double-helical elements and three loops (D, anti-codon, and T loops). Further hydrogen bonds mediate the characteristic L-shaped molecular structure. tRNAs have two regions of fundamental functional importance: the anti-codon, which is responsible for specific mRNA codon recognition, and the 3' end, to which the tRNAs corresponding amino acid is attached (by aminoacyl-tRNA synthetases). tRNAs cope with the degeneracy of the genetic code in two manners: having more than one tRNA (with a specific anti-codon) for a particular amino acid; and 'wobble' base-pairing, i.e. permitting non-standard base-pairing at the 3rd anti-codon position.
Source: Rfam by way of RNAcentral
GCCCUGGUGGCUCAGUGGUUGAGCGUUGACCUAUGAAUCAGGAGGUCAUGGUUUGAUUCCUGGUUGGGGCA